Molecule: long non-coding RNA, 1281 nt
Filed under: Homo sapiens (human)
Lineage: Eukaryota; Metazoa; Chordata; Mammalia; Primates; Hominidae
Description: novel transcript
Source: RNAcentral
CCCUAUCCGCGCCCCUAUCCGGCGCGGGCCGCUGCGGAAACGCAGCUCUCCACCCCCAGCUGGCUCUCCCGGACCCCCUGGGCCCCACCCUCAGCGCUCCCCACCGCUCGGCGCCCCUGCGUCUGCGCUCCCCUCUCUCCCCUCUCUAUCCACUGGGUCUGGGCCGCACUUCCCGCCCACCCGCCUGCCAGCGGCCGGGAAGCCUGUGGAAGUUAUGGGGAUGCAGGGAGAGGGGGAGAGGGGAGCUUGUGUGCUAGGGGACCAGCCAUUUGAGUCAAGCUGGAGACGACGUCUUAGAACCUAGGAUGAGUCUCGUUUGGUUUUAGUCUGCAAAGCUCGUCUGCAUCAGACAGGAAUUUUCCCCAGACGCGGGUGCACGUGAAUUAAUUCAUCAGAAGGCGGUUCACGGCCUGAGUGAGGGGGACGAGGGCGGCGAAUUCCUCCGCCUCAUUCCUACCCUGACGAUUCGAGAUGCUCGCUUCACCCCACUGAGAUGUAACUCAGUUUUGUGGGAUCCCACUGCCCUCCAGGUGCCGCUCCGAGUGCUCUACACAGAUUUUCAUUCAGUCCUUGCGGCACACGAAGAGUGGCUGUACCAUUUUGCAUUCCCAGACCGAAGUGUGAAAGCUCCAGAUGCCCCACGCCCUCACCAGCCCACGGUGUUGUCAGCCUUAAUAGUGCUGACCAUUCUGCCUGUUAAUAUGAUGAAUUACACUGAUUCAGUUUCAAAUGUCCAACCAAGCUUGCACUCCAGAGAUGAAGCCCACUUGAUCACAUGGAUUAUUCUUUUAAUAUAUGAUGGAUACGACUUGGCUGUUCUUUUGUUGAGGAUUUUUGUGUUUAUGUUAAUGAGGAUAUUAUUUGUAGUUUUCUUUUCUUGUAAUGUUUUUGUCUUUGUUCAGUGUCAGAGUAAUGCCAACUUCAUAAAGUGAGCUGGGAAGUACUCCCUCAUUUUCUGUUUUCUGUGAAAGAAUUGUAUAGAAUUGAUGUUAUUUCUUCCUUAAGUGUUGAGUAGAAUUCACUUGCAAAGCCAUCUGAGGUUGACAUCUUCUUUGGGAAUGACUUUAGCUAUAAAUUCAAUUUAUUUAACAGAUAUAGGGCUAUUAAGGUUAUUUAAUUUUUUUCUUGAAUGAGCUUUAGUGUCCUGUGUUUUUCAAGGAAUUUUUCCAUUUUAUUUAAGUUUUUAGAUUUGUUGGCAUAAAGUUAUCCCAAUAUUUCCUUAGAAGUUGUGACUUUUACUGCAUAUAAAACAUACCUCAAUAAAGCUAAUACAUACAUAUA